AUGCUCAAGCGCACCAUGGUGAGCACGCCCGUGUUGGCACUGCCCAACUUCACGCGCCCGUUCGCCAUCGAAACUGAUGCGUGCGACACCGGCGUGGACGCGGUGCUUAUGCAAGAUGGCCAUCUAGUGGCCUACCUCAGCAAGGCUCUUGGAGUACGCAAUCAGAAGCUCUCCACAUAUGAGAAGGAAUUUCUCGCCGUCAUGAUGGCCAUCGAUAAGUGGCGGCCGUACCUGCAGCAAGCUCCAUUUGAGAUCGUCACUGACCACAAGAGUCUCUGUGCACUUGAUGAUCAACAACUGGUAACCGAUCUCCAGCGCAAGGCCAUGUCCAAGAUGGUGGGGCUGCAGUUCUCCUUCCGCUACAAGAAGGGCGUCGACAACAGUGCUGCCGAUGCGCUGUCCCGCGUCGGUCACCUCCUGGAGCUCGACGCACUGUCCAUUUGCCAACCACAAUGGCUUCAAGAAGUCGCCAAUUCCUACGAGACCGACCCCGACUCUCAAGAACUACUCACCAAGCUGGCUGUCAUCAACACUGACGAUCAAGGGCGCACUCUGCAGCAAGGCGUAAUCCGGCAACGCAGUCGACUCUGGAUCGGCGCCAACUCAGCACUUCAGACCAAACUCAUCACUGCUCACCACCACAGCGCCGUGGGAGGUCACUCAGGCACCACAACAACAUAUCAUAGGGUGCGCAAACUCUUUGCCUGGCCGGGUCUGAAGCGUGUCGUUGAGGAUUUUGUUCGCCAGUGCACUGUCUGCCAGCAUGCCAAGCAUGAGAACACGCACCAGGCGGGCAAGCUCCAACCCCUACCAAUACCUACAGCGCCAUGGCAAGAUCUCACCAUGGACUUCGUCGAGGGAUUACCCAAAUCUGAAGGGUGCGAUUCCAUCAUGGUCAUCGUCGAUCGCCUGACCAAGUUCGCGCACUUUGUGCCGCUUCGUCACCCCUUCACCACGGUCCACGUCACCCGCGCGUUCUGGGACAACGUCAUCAAGAUGCAUGGCGUACCUCUCUCCAUCGUCUCUGAUCGGGACAAGAUCUUCACUAGCGCCAUGUGA
RNAcentral lists this ribosomal RNA (1059 nucleotides) under Triticum aestivum (bread wheat). RNAcentral's name for it is "partial small subunit ribosomal RNA". The record is from RNAcentral. Lineage: Eukaryota; Viridiplantae; Streptophyta; Magnoliopsida; Poales; Poaceae.